RNAcentral lists this ribosomal RNA (440 nucleotides) under uncultured bacterium. RNAcentral's name for it is "partial 16S ribosomal RNA". It matches the Rfam family "Bacterial small subunit ribosomal RNA", at positions 338 to 795 of the family's 1533-position model. The record is from RNAcentral.
CCUACGGGUGACAGCAGUGGGGGAUAUUGCACAAUGGGGGAAACCCUGAUGCAGCGACGCCGCGUGUGGGAAGACGGUCCUCUGGAUUGUAAACCACUGUCCCCAGGGACGAAGAUGACGGUACCUGAAGAAAAAGCAUCGGCUAACUCCGUGCCAGCAGCCGCGGUAAUACGGAGGAUGCGAGCGUUAUCCGGAUUUAUUGGGUUUAAAGGGUGCGUAGGCGGAAUGCCAAGUCAGCGGUAAAAUCGCGGGGCUCAACCUCGCUCCGCCGUUGAAACUGGCGUUCUUGAGUGGGCGAGAAGUAUGCGGAAUGCGUGGUGUAGCGGUGAAAUGCAUAGAUAUCACGCAGAACUCCGAUUGCGAAGGCAGCAUACCGGCGCCCAACUGACGCUGAAGCACGAAAGCGUGGGUAUCGAACAGGAUUAGAUACCCCAGUAGUC